Aphis gossypii (cotton aphid) is the source of this 597-nucleotide long non-coding RNA. RefSeq lists it as uncharacterized. NCBI's taxonomy places the organism in Eukaryota, Metazoa, Arthropoda, Insecta, Hemiptera, Aphididae. The transcript has 2 exons. The record is from RefSeq and is a predicted model, not a curated record.
AUAUGAAUUUUAACAAAAAUAAUGUUUAACUCAAUAUUUACAGAAAUCAUUUAGGGCAUUAAUUAUAAAACCCUUUUACAAAACUUUAUAAAAAAACAAAAUUAUAAACAAUUAACUUUAAGUCUUUUUGCCUUUGAUUAACAUUCAGCCAUUUAAGAAAUUGUCAUAGUAUAUAUAUAUAGCCAUAUAUGAUUUCAAAACUUUUAAACAAUAUUCAAAUCUUGGACGUUUUUUUGGUUGUACAUUUCAACAUUUUUGCAGAAUUAUAUAACUGCAAUAAAACACCAGAAGAUCUAACACGUGGUGAUCUAGUAUUUUUCAAGUAUGCUCUCAUUACUUCCAUCGAUGUGGAAUAUUGAUCUUCGGCAUAUAAGUGUAUUCUAGUCAAUAAUAGAAUUAAGAGCCUUUCAGUUCAAAAACGUUCGAAAACACCUAAUAAUUCAAUGCAAUCACAAAAAUAAAUAACAUUUUCAGAACAUUCAAAACCAAAUUUUCAAAGAUUUUAUUUUUAAUUUUUAUAAAUAAAUAAUUUUACUUAAAUAGUUAAAUCACAAUUUUUUUAUAUUUAUAUGAAAUAAAUCCUAUUUUUAAUGACUA